UAGGGAAUCUUCCACAAUGGGCGAAAGCCUGAUGGAGCAACGCCGCGUGUGUGAUGAAGGGUUUCGGCUCGUAAAACGCUGUUGUAAGAGAAGAAUGACAUUGAGAGUAACUGUUCAAUGUGUGACGGUAUCUUACCAGAAAGGAACGGCUAAAUACGCGCCAA
This 164-nucleotide ribosomal RNA is filed under the name uncultured bacterium. RNAcentral describes it as "partial 16S rRNA". It matches the Rfam family "Bacterial small subunit ribosomal RNA", at positions 355 to 511 of the family's 1533-position model. The record is from RNAcentral.